RNAcentral lists this ribosomal RNA (521 nucleotides) under uncultured bacterium. RNAcentral's name for it is "bacterial SSU rRNA". It matches the Rfam family "Archaeal small subunit ribosomal RNA", at positions 345 to 866 of the family's 1478-position model. The record is from RNAcentral.
AACCUCCGCAAUGUGAGAAAUCGCGACGGGGGGAUCCCAAGUGCCAUUCUUAACGGGAUGGCUUUUCAUUAGUGUAAAGAGCUUUUGGAAUAAGAGCUGGGCAAGACCGGUGCCAGCCGCCGCGGUAACACCGGCAGCUCUAGUGGUAGCGAUUUUUAUUGGGCCUAAAGCGUCCGUAGCCGGUUUAAUAAGUCUCUGGUGAAAUCCUGCAGCUUAACUGUGGGAAUUGCUGGAGAUACUAUUAGACUUGAGAUCGGGAGAGGUUAGAGGUACUCCCAGGGUAGAGGUGAAAUUCUGUAAUCCUGGGAGGACCGCCUGUUGCGAAGGCGUCUAACUGGAACGAUUCUGACGGUGAGGGACGAAAGUUAGGGGCGCGAACCGGAUUAGAUACCCGGGUAGUCCUAACUGUAAACGAUGCGGACUUGGUGUUGGGGUGGCUUUGAGCUGCUCCAGUGCCGAAGGGAAGCUGUUAAGUCCGCCGCCUGGGAAGUACGGCCGCAAGACUGAAACUUAAAGGAAUU